RNAcentral lists this ribosomal RNA (495 nucleotides) under uncultured bacterium. RNAcentral's name for it is "partial 16S ribosomal RNA". It matches the Rfam family "Bacterial small subunit ribosomal RNA", at positions 28 to 507 of the family's 1533-position model. The record is from RNAcentral.
GACGAACGCUGGCGGCGUGCCUAAUACAUGCAAGUAGAACGCUGAAGGAGGAGCUUGCUUCUCCGGAUGAGUUGCGAACGGGUGAGUAACGCGUAGGUAACCUGCCUGGUAGCGGGGGAUAACUAUUGGAAACGAUAGCUAAUACCGCAUAAGAGUAGAUGUCGCAUGACAUUCGCUUAAAAGGUGCAACUGCACCACUACCAGAUGGACCUGCGUUGUAUUAGCUAGUUGGUGAGGUAACGGCUCACCAAGGCAACGAUACAUAGCCGACCCGAGAGGGGGGUCGGCCCACCUGGGAACGGGGCCCGGCCCCAGAUCCUAAGGGGAGCAGCCGUAGGGGAUCAUCGGCCAUUGGCGGCAGUCUGACCGAACCACGCCGGGUGGGGUAAGGAGGGUUUCGGGUCGUUAAGCUCUGUUGUAAGGGAAGGACGAGUGUGAGAGUGGAAAGUUCACACUGUGACGGUAUCUAACCAGAAAGGGACGGCUAACUACGUG